This is a long non-coding RNA of Hippocampus comes (tiger tail seahorse), 617 nucleotides long. RefSeq lists it as uncharacterized. NCBI's taxonomy places the organism in Eukaryota, Metazoa, Chordata, Actinopteri, Syngnathiformes, Syngnathidae. The transcript has 3 exons. The record is from RefSeq and is a predicted model, not a curated record.
AGACACUUGCUAGUGACGUGCGCCGUCUGGUGUAGACAGACAGCAGAGGUUGUCGCCAUUCUCCUCUCGUCCCUACCAAUGGCGACAAGUACUGUCAGGAAAUGACCUGUCGGAAAACAAUGAGCUGCAGAAAUGGAGAGAGGAAGAGAGAAAUCACGAAGACAUCCUUGCCACAGGCAGAGUUUCCUGGAAGAGGCCUUUCACUUUGGCAGACAACAUUAAGGGAUUACAGGACGAUGGGAGGCAGCACAGCGGCACGGCUGCACAUCAACAUGCGACCGUUACGGUGGCAACCGGGAAUCCUUCAUCGGGAUCAAGAGAGCACAGGGUGGUGCUCCCCCGUCCCUGCUUCCACAGGUGGAAAGGGUAGGAGCAGCGUAAUGACUUUCAGUAGUGUGCAUUCAAAGCUAAAUAUGCAGACUCCAGCGUUUACUCAACAAGUGUUACUUGUCUUUUAAAGUACAAAAAAAAAAUCAUCAAAGAAGCAGCUUGAUGCUGGGAGAAAUAUUUGCUUUCCUGCCAAGAGUUGUAUGAGAUUGAUGCCAGAGGGGAAUAUGGUAAACAUUAGUCAAGCUCCCAUUCAGACGGGACAUUAUCUUCCUGCCAGAGCCUCUGAA